Long non-coding RNA from Piliocolobus tephrosceles (Ugandan red Colobus), 3516 nucleotides. RefSeq lists it as uncharacterized. NCBI's taxonomy places the organism in Eukaryota, Metazoa, Chordata, Mammalia, Primates, Cercopithecidae. The transcript is spliced from 3 exons. The record is from RefSeq and is a predicted model, not a curated record.
GCGCUCCAUUGUUGGGCAGCUUAUGCUCCCGCGUGGACAGCUCUGUUUCGCCUUCCGGUCCCCGUAGCUCUUCUGGGGAACAGGAUCGCUGGCGCCUCCUGGGCCGAUAAACGACCCGGGGCUGCCCGGCCCAGCGAAUGUUUCGCACGACCGCCCAGUGACAGGUAGUCGAGUCGAGGCAGCGCGGUUCCCAAGGCAGCCACGGCUGCGCCCACCCUCCAGUUCGAAACUCCGGGCAGUCGCGGUUGCUUUCAGUCUCUGCCCGUUGAGACAAAAGAGCGUGACAAGACGCUCGACGCGGCCAAUCACCGGAGCGAGGGGGCUGACUCCCCGCGGAUCCUCUGGCCCCGAAGCUACUGCUAGCACGACUCGAGAGCUGGCGGACCGAGGCUGAAGCAGACAGGCGCGGGAGCCGGCGCGGCGUCAAGUGCAGCUCGGACGCACGGACCAGGCCCAUUUCCCUUUCAUCUCUAAACGGUAAGAGGCAGAGGGGCCUUCCCAGUGUACUGGCCAUGAGCGUUAAGGAGGCUGAGGCUUAAGGCCAUCAUGGAAUACGGAGGACGGGGAGGUGGUGAUGGGCCAAGCGCAGGAGGCUGAGCCUCCAUAUCUCUCCACCAAGAGCUCUCCAUCUGCACCAGUCUAGAUCACCGUCUGAGGCCCAGCUCAAACAGCACGUAUUGUUUGAAGACUUCCAGAAUCUUCCAAGUCACAAUGAAUUUCCCCUUCUCCCACAGCACUUUGUUCAUACCUUUAUUAUAAUACAUAAUAUUUCUUUCUUUUAUUUUUUUGAGACGGAGCCUUGCUCUGUUACCCAGGCUGGAGUGCAGUGGCGUGAUCUUGCCUCCCUGGGUUCAAGCAGUUCUCCUGCCUCAGCUUCCGAGUAGCUGGGACUACAGGCAUGCACCACCAUGCCCCACUGGUUUUUGUAUUUUUAGUAAAGAUGAGGUUUCGCCAUGUUGGCCAGGCUGGUCUUGAACUCCUGACCUCAGGAGAUCUGCCAGCCUCGGCCUCCCAGAGCAAUGGGAUUACAGGCAUGAGCCACUGAGCCCAGUCAAUAUGACUUUCUUAACAGAAAUAUUUUGUGGCUGUGUCUGUUUUCUUCACAUUUUAUAAAUUCCUUGAGAGCAGGCACUUUAUUUAUGAUUGUAUACCUCUUUUCAUUUCACAACUGAUACAUAGUAGAUGCUUGUCUUAGUCCAUUUUGUGUUGCUAUAAGUGAAUACCUGAAACUGGGCAAUUUACAAAGAAAAGAGGUUUAUUUAACCCAUGGUUCUGCAGGCUGGGAAGUUUAAGAUUAGGCAGCUGCAUCUGGUAGCUUCUGAUGCGGGCCUUGUACUGUGGCAAAACAUGGCAGAGAAAUGCAAGGGAAACCAGGUCCCUGCAAAGAGAGUAAAACACCAAACAUGAGACGCAACCUCACUUUACAACAACUUGCACUUGCAUAACCAAUCCAGUCCCACAAAGAGUAAGAACUGACUCACUCCCACCAGACUGCUUUAAUCCCUUCAUGAGAGUGAAUCCCUAGUGACCCAGAAGGCUGUUAAAGAUUCCACCCCCUCUCAACACUGUUACAUUGGGGACCAAGUCUCAAUAUCAGUUUUGGUGGGCACAAACCAUAUUCAAAUCAUAACAAUGCUCAAUACAUGUUAGUUGAAUUAAAUGUUUCAUUAGGAGAAUAUAGACAUGAAUAAAGCAUGGUUUCUGCUCUCAAGAGAAGCCAACAUUCUAUCAAGGGAAACAGUACAUUAUUCCACAUGAGAAGCUAUACUAGUGACAUGUAUAAAGCAUGAGGAAUUCAGUGAUCAAUUAGAAAAUGCAAUAGGAAAAAUAACCCAUUCGUGAUAUUCCCAACAUCUGUAAGGCAGCUAGGAAGACAGCUAACAAAGAUGUAUAAACCAUUAUGCAGAAAAGUAUGAGAUUGUACUAAAGAAAAUUUAAUAAAAAUCGGAAAGUGGAGGAAUAUACUUGUCAAGAACUACAAAAGGUAUAGAAUUUGAUCCUAUUUACAAAGUUACAAAUUAACCUGACACACACAGUUUCAUGUAUUCUGUCAGAAGACAUGAGAAUCUUGCGUGAGAGGCAAAGGACUUUAUUACUCAGAAAAAGCAGUAGCUAGAACUUCCUGUUGGCUUGUGUUCGUUCCCAAUGCCCCCUAAAUCCCACAAGGGCAAUGCAAAGGACCAAUGAUGGAUGGCUGCACAGUGGGUUGCAUUACAGGAAAGAAACAAUACAUUUGGAGGAUCCACCGCUUUUAUAGAAAAUGGAAAUAAGCCUGCUGUUUGUGAUGUUUCCCCAUCCUUCAGGGUUUCUCACUGAAAACAUGGUCUUGAGAAUGGCCAAGGUGAAGAGUCAUCAGUGCCUUACAUUUUUGGCAUAAUCAGCAAGAAUAUGCAUGAAUGCUUAGGGGCCAUGAUGGGUUGUCUUUCCCAAGAAUACUCCAUUUGUAUGUGUGGAGACUUUAAGUCAGCAAAUUGGUAAUUCUUCUCAAAUUGGUCCAUAAAUCCAAUAUUAUUCCAAUCAAAAUAUUAACAGGUCAUUUUUUUUGUGGAAUUUGAAACACUGAUUACAAAAUUGGAAAAGGCACAUAUAGUAAAUUGUUAUAUGAAAGAAGUGACAUUGCAAAGGAGUGAAAAAACGAUGAAUAAUUUAAUAAAUGUGAUUGGGACAGUUGUUUCCCUUCUCAGAGAAAAAUCUAGAUCCAUGCCUUAUACAAAAUAAAGUCUAGAUGUAUAAAAGUCCAAAGUACAAAAUUGAAAUCUUAAAACCAAUAAAAAAUCAUGUCCUCAGAAUAAUUUCCUAAACAAAAUCCCAAAACACAAGUUUUAAAGGAAAAGAUUGAUAUAUAUUUGAUUCCACAAACAUCGUAUAAUGAAAAAAAUGAGAAAUAACGAUAGUGUUAAAAGACGAGCAAUGAUUGGUACAGGAUUUUUGGAAAGCUAGUUGGCUCUAUCUACUGAAGCUGAACCUAUGCAUUCCCUAUGACCAGCAACUCCACUUCUUGGUGUAUACCCAAGAAAAAUGCAUAUGCAUAUUCACUAAUGACAUUAUGAAUAUGCUCAUACAGCAUUAUUUGUAAUAGCCUCACACUAAAAAAAAAAACCCGUGUCCACAAACAGUAGAAUGAAUAAAUAAAUUGUAGUAUAUUCAUACAUUAAAAUGUAGCACAUAAUGGAGAAUUAACUACAAAUUCACGACAACAUGGAUGAAUCUCACAAACCUAAUGUUGAGCAAAAGAAUCCAGACACAGAGGAGUAUAUACUGAAAUAUCCCAUUUAUUUAAAGCAGAAAAGAGGCAGAACUAAUAGUCAGGAGAGUGGUUAUCAUCCUUGGGCAUAGUGACUGGAAAGGGGCACAAAAGAAGCUUGUGGCAGGGCAGGGGGAGGUUGGUAAUGUACUGUGUCUUGAUCUGAGAGCUGGUUAUAUGGGUGUCUUUACUUUGUGAUCAUUUAUCAAGAUGUACACCUAAGAUAUGUAUGUAUGUCUAUUGUACUUGAAUAAAACAUUUUGAAAAUCUGC